This is a long non-coding RNA of Cyprinus carpio (common carp), 581 nucleotides long. RefSeq lists it as uncharacterized. The transcript has 3 exons. NCBI's taxonomy places the organism in Eukaryota, Metazoa, Chordata, Actinopteri, Cypriniformes, Cyprinidae. The record is from RefSeq and is a predicted model, not a curated record.
UUUCGCUUUUGACUGCGUCUAUCUAAAAGCAGAGUCAGCCUUUGCAAUAAGGGAGGCCCGUUUCAAAGAAACAGCUGAGGGAUCUUUUUCGAGCGCAAGCGGAGGACUCUUGUGUUGCUUUUCAACUGAAACGGGUGAAACAUAACAAAGGACAGACAAUGGAUCUUGCUGUAAAUGACCUCAAGAAAUCUCUAAACAGAUCUGGCUUGAAGGAAGUGUCUUCCCUUCAGCAAUGUCAUUUCUUACUGUUUUUCUGCCCCAUUAUUUCUCGUGCUGGAACUGACAUUGACGCUGCAGUGACGUACAUCAAUCAAGUGAAAGCUUCAUCACUGCCAGUCAUCAUGGUGGUGCUCCAUUACACUUUUGACAAAGACAAACUUACACAAGACAGCAACAGUGUUAUAAAGAGCGAGGGCAUAUCUGCAGUGGACUGUCUGUUCUAUGAAAAUGGGUUACUGAAAUGUCAGAAGAAUACGAAUGCAAUUAAUAAAAUUGCAAAGGAUUCAAAAUCAGAGGUAGGCUGAUCACAAUGCCCUUUACACAAACCUUGGGUACAGUAUGUGUUUACACAGUUAUUAACA